RNAcentral lists this ribosomal RNA (253 nucleotides) under uncultured bacterium. RNAcentral's name for it is "partial 16S ribosomal RNA". It matches the Rfam family "Bacterial small subunit ribosomal RNA", at positions 524 to 776 of the family's 1533-position model. The record is from RNAcentral.
UACGUAGGGUGCAAACGUUGUCCGGAAUUAUUGGGCGUAAAGAGCUCGUAGGCGGUUUGUCGCGUCUGCUGUGAAAACUCGGGGCUUAACCCCGGGCCUGCAGUGGGUACGGGCAGACUAGAGUGCGGUAGGGGAGACUGGAAUUCCUGGUGUAGCGGUGAAAUGCGCAGAUAUCAGGAGGAACACCGGUGGCGAAGGCGGGUCUCUGGGCCGUAACUGACGCUGAGGAGCGAAAGCGUGGGGAGCGAACAGG